GACGAACGCUGGCGGCGUGCUUAACACAUGCAAGUCGAACGGAAAGGCCCUGCUUUUGUGGGGUGCUCGAGUGGCGAACGGGUGAGUAACACGUGAGUAACCUGCCCUUGACUUUGGGAUAACUUCAGGAAACUGGGGCUAAUACCGGAUAGGAGCUCCUGCUGCAUGGUGGGGGUUGGAAAGUUUCGGCGGUUGGGGAUGGACUCGCGGCUUAUCAGCUUGUUGGAGGGGUAGUGGCUUACCAAGGCUUUGACGGGUGGCCGGCCUGAGAGGGUGACCGGCCACAUUGGGACUGAGAUACGGCCCAGACUCCUACGGGAGGCAGCAGUGGGGAAUAUUGCACAAUGGGCGGAAGCCUGAUGCAGCAACGCCGCGUGCGGGAUGACGGCCUUCGGGUUGUAAACCGCUUUCGCCUGUGACGAAGCGUGAGUGACGGUAAUGGGUAAAGAAGCACCGGCUAACUACGUG
This 468-nucleotide ribosomal RNA is filed under the name uncultured bacterium. RNAcentral describes it as "partial 16S ribosomal RNA". It matches the Rfam family "Bacterial small subunit ribosomal RNA", at positions 28 to 507 of the family's 1533-position model. The record is from RNAcentral.